CGGAUCAGUAAUACCGUAUACGCCCUUUGGGGGAAAGAUUUAUCGGAGAAGGAUCGGCCCGCGUUAGAUUAGGUAGUUGGUGGGGUAACGGCCUACCAAGCCUACGAUCUAUAGCUGGUUUUAGAGGAUGAUCAGCAACACUGGGACUGAGACACGGCCCAGACUCCUACGGGAGGCAGCAGUGGGGAAUCUUAGACAAUGGGGGCAACCCUGAUCUAGCCAUGCCGCGUGAGUGAUGAAGGCCUUAGGGUCGUAAAGCUCUUUCGCCUGUGAUGAUAAUGACAGUAGCAGGUAAAGAAACCCCGGCUAACUCCGUGCCAGCAGCCGCGGUAAUACGGAGGGGGUUAGCGUCGUUCGGAAUUACUGGGCGUA
Molecule: ribosomal RNA, 372 nt
Filed under: uncultured Alphaproteobacteria bacterium
Lineage: Bacteria; Pseudomonadati; Pseudomonadota; Alphaproteobacteria
Description: bacterial SSU rRNA
Rfam family: Bacterial small subunit ribosomal RNA
Source: RNAcentral